UGGCUCAUACAGCGAUUACCAACAGCCCCAUUGAAUAAAAAAAAUCCCUCAAACAGCACACUGGAAAAUGUAUGAUCUUUAAAGACUUCAGGAUUCAGAAAACUGAGCACAGAAAUUUCCAGUUGUUGGGAAGCAAAAGAUGAUGAAGAUGGAGCAGCCAAAUGAGGAGUGUACGUAAAUAGCUUCAUCAAGGAAAGGAUGGUCUGGUUAUAUCUGGCGAGUUUUGGCUGCUCUUCACCACCAAAUCAUAAUUGAUGGAAGCCAACUGUGAUAAAUUCUGCAAAGCAAAACAAUGAAGUUGCUGCAUCGUAUUUUGAUCUUUCUUUCAAGCCAGCACCAAAGUGACAUUAUUCAUACAAAUACGGUUGCUAAAUGAACUACUGCUGGUAUCUGUCAAAUCAUGAUCAUCAAAGUCACUAGCACCAUUAAAAUCCUCGU
Molecule: long non-coding RNA, 438 nt
Organism: Cucurbita maxima (winter squash)
Lineage: Eukaryota; Viridiplantae; Streptophyta; Magnoliopsida; Cucurbitales; Cucurbitaceae
Exons: 3
Source: RefSeq, a predicted model, not a curated record